AUUGUGUGAAUACAUAGCACAUUCGAGGUAGACGCAGAGAACUGAAACAUCUAAGUACCUGCAGGAAGAGAAAGAAAAUUCGAUUCCCUGAGUAGCGGCGAGCGAAACGGGAAAAGCCCAAACCAGCAAGCUUGCUUGUUGGGGUUGUAGGACUCCAAUAUGGUAGUUCUUUCAGAUAGUCGAAUGACUUGGAAAAGUCAGUCAAAGAGGGUAAAAACCCCGUAGACGAAAUGUGGAAGACACCUAGGAGGAUCCUGAGUACGGCGGAACACGAGAAAUUCCGUCGGAAUCCGGGAGGACCAUCUCCCAAGGCUAAAUACUCCCUAGUGACCGAUAGUGAACCAGUACCGUGAGGGAAAGGUGAAAAGCACCCCGGAAGGGGAGUGAAAUAGAACCUGAAACCGUGUGCCUACAACAAGUCAAAGCCCGUUAAUGGGUGAUGGCGUGCCUUUUGUAGAAUGAACCGGCGAGUUACGAUUGCAUGCGAGGUUAAGUUGAAGAGACGGAGCCGCAGCGAAAGCGAGUCUGAAUAGGGCGUUUGAGUAUGUAGUCGUAGACCCGAAACCAUGUGAUCUACCCAUGUCCAGGUUGAAGGUGCGGUAAAACGCACUGGAGGACCGAACCCACGUACGUUGAAAAGUGCGGGGAUGAGGUGUGGGUAGCGGAGAAAUUCCAAACGAACUUGGAGAUAGCUGGUUCUCUCCGAAAUAGCUUUAGGGCUAGCCUCGGAAUUGAGAAUGAUGGAGGUAGAGCACUGUUUGGACUAGGGGCCCAUCUCGGGUUACCGAAUUCAGAUAAACUCCGAAUGCCAUUCAUUCAUAUCCGGGAGUCAGACUGUGAGUGAUAAGAUCCAUAGUCGAAAGGGAAACAGCCCAGACCACCAGCUAAGGUCCCAAAAUAUAUGUUAAGUGGAAAAGGAUGUGGGGUUGCACAGACAACUAGGAUGUUGGCUUAGAAGCAGCCACCAUUU
RNAcentral lists this ribosomal RNA (970 nucleotides) under Enterococcus faecium. RNAcentral describes it as "partial 23S ribosomal RNA". It matches the Rfam family "Bacterial large subunit ribosomal RNA", at positions 153 to 1124 of the family's 2925-position model. Lineage: Bacteria; Bacillati; Bacillota; Bacilli; Lactobacillales; Enterococcaceae. The record is from RNAcentral.